CGCGUAGGCGGUUUGAUAAGUCAGAUGUGAAAGCCCACGGCUUAACUGUGGAAGUGCAUUUGAAACUGUCAGACUUGAGUAUCAGAGGGGAAAGUGGAAUUCCCGGUGUAGAGGUGAAAUUCGUAGAUAUCGGGAGGAAUACCGGUGGCGAAGGCGACUUUCUGGCUGAAUACUGACGCUGAGGCGCGAAAGCGUGGGGAGCAAACA
This 207-nucleotide ribosomal RNA is filed under the name uncultured delta proteobacterium. Its description in RNAcentral is "partial 16S ribosomal RNA". It matches the Rfam family "Bacterial small subunit ribosomal RNA", at positions 568 to 774 of the family's 1533-position model. Lineage: Bacteria; Deltaproteobacteria. RNAcentral also lists the same sequence under 1 other name. The record is from RNAcentral.